AAUUUUCUAAGGUGAUAUUAAAUUUUUAUUCUUAAUUUAUAUUAUUGUUGAAAAUAAUAAUAUUUUCUUUAAGACUAAAAGACCCUAAAAUUUUUAUAACUUUAGGUUAUUUAAUUGGGGAAAUGAAUUAAUAAAAAUGUA
Molecule: ribosomal RNA, 141 nt
Filed under: Brephosceles lanceolatus
Lineage: Eukaryota; Metazoa; Arthropoda; Arachnida; Sarcoptiformes; Alloptidae
Description: partial 16S large subunit ribosomal RNA
Source: RNAcentral